GAUGAACGCUGGCGGCGUGCCUAAUACAUGCAAGUCGAGCGAGAAGCUACUUUGAAGCGUUUUCGGACAAUUCUGUGUAGUGGAAAGCGGCGGACGGGUGAGUAACGCGUAGGCAACCUGCCUUUCUGAUGGGGACAACAUCCCGAAAGGGGUGCUAAUACCGAAUGACGUAUGUUUCCCGCAUGGGAAAGAUACCAAAGAUGGCCUCUACUUGUAAGCUAUCGCAGAAAGAUGGGCCUGCGUCUGAUUAGCCAGUUGGCGGGGUAACGGCCCACCAAAGCGACGAUCAGUAGCCGGUCUGAGAGGAUGAACGGCCACAUUGGGACUGAGACACGGCCCAGACUCC
This 346-nucleotide ribosomal RNA is filed under the name uncultured Veillonellaceae bacterium. RNAcentral's name for it is "bacterial SSU rRNA". It matches the Rfam family "Bacterial small subunit ribosomal RNA", at positions 28 to 339 of the family's 1533-position model. Lineage: Bacteria; Bacillati; Bacillota; Negativicutes; Veillonellales; Veillonellaceae. The record is from RNAcentral.